UGUCCCAUGAACAGUUGGUUUCAUUUAUCUGAUCCACUGAUAAUGACCUUAAAAAUGUUGGGAAACAUCACUGUGGAAUCUCCAGCUUUUACAAGGAAAAGUUAAAAAGCAAAAUCCAGUGGUACUACUGAAAACUCAUUCCUUCUGAUCUGUUCUUCAGCAUAAAACGAUAUUGUCCUUAAGUGAAGGGAUUGGGUAAUGCUGUAUUUUAUGUAAAAAUGUAUAAAUUCUCUCACUGUUGCCCAGGGUUACAGUUUAGCUAGCAACCAUUAGCCUUUGGAAGACAGGGGUUGUGUCUCUUAUAACUCAGCUUAGAAUUUGAGAGCUCUAUAGCCAGAGGCUGCUAUCCGCCCCUGGGUAGAUAACACCUAUGGGUGGAUUUCUAAGCUGUGAAAUAAUAAAAUUCCUGAGAGAGUUUCCAAGCUGCUUUCACACAUAGAAGAGCCCUGGGAAGAUGGUUAUUAAUAGCCCUGUCCUAGAAGAGAAGGCUGAGGUUCAGAAUCAUUAAGUGUCUUGCCAAAAGCAAUAUAGCUGGUAAGUGUGAGAUGUGGGUAUUUACCCAAGGCCCUGUUACAAAAAUAUCCAUGGAAACUCACAAGAACCAUUUGGUUCUCGGUGGCAGGUGUAUAUGUGUAUCGUAUUGCUGCAGAUCAUUAAGAGUUUUCACCAGUCUGUGUCAUCUUGUUGAGAAGCCACAGGUCUUUGUGAUGAUCCCCAGGCAGCAAAGGCCACUGAGAACAACUAUGCAGAAGCACAUUGCAGCAAAUUUCCCCAGAGAGCGUUGGUUUACAUCCACUGGAAACCUUUCUGGACUGGUCCUGCUCAGGAUAUCAAUGGAGACUAUAUUAUUUCAAAUACAGUAGUGUUCAGAGGUUACUUGCGUUUUAGGAAAGCCCUUCCUCUCUUGGACCACAGAGACAGAAGCUGUUAUAGGUAUAGCUGUUCUCUUCUAGGACAGGGCUAUAUAGAACACACACACACACACACACACACACACACACACACACACACACACACACACACACUCUCUCUCUCUCUCUCUCUCUCUGUCAGUUCACAAGAAUAUGCUGAGGCAACCACGAAUUUGUGAUCCAACAAGCCCAAGACCAGAGGCCUUGAAAUGUCUAGAGAAGUGCUAUUGGAUGAGCAAACUCUCUGAAGUUUAGCCUUUAUCAUUGGACAGGGGGUGCUUCUCGGGCUGUCGUGCCCAUGGGAUUAUUCUACGCUCAUCCCAGAGAACAGUGCACUGUAUUGUCAGCAACAACAAAGAACCUCGUUGGAGGGCCCUGGGUAUACUCCAGAAGUCAGCCCACAUUGCAGCUCAACGAGGAACACUCCUCUUGGAGCUGACUUCCUCAUGAAGCUGGGCCUUCCAGGUACAGUCUUGGCUUUCAUUUUUUUAUCUUCUGGUUGUUUUUUCGGUUGUUGUUGUUGUUGUUGUUUUUGGUUUUUUUUUGUUUGUUUGUUUGUUUGUUUUUUGCUACAAGUCAAAAAUCCGCUAAUUAAGAAAAUAUUCUUUGACCACAUUAAAUCUGCACUUAAUCUAGAAAUCUAGAAACCCUUUCAAAUGCCCUAGUCUGUAAGUUAGGCAUUUGUCUUUCCUAGAGCCUCUCCUCUGUCAGACCAAAAUCACCACUCAUUUGACUGUUCCCUUGGAUUGGUAAGAGGCAAGUGAAAUAGCAAACAGCCUUUCAGCUUUUUCCAGUCUUCCCACAAGGGAACUAUCAUACCAGAUAUUGGAGAGGACCAGAAGUUUGGCAACAUUGACUGAGGACCCAACCUAUCCAGGAGGCAUUUUCUCUGGCACACAUUGGCUCACCCAACCAAGCUAUAGAUUUAUUAGGCCUUUUGAUCACGCCUUAUAAUGACCCGAAGAGAGGCUGGCUUUUGUAGAGCCGUCCCAUCCCAUUAGACAAAAGGGCAUGAGGAGCUGAAUGUGUAAGGGGAUGGGGUCCUGAAACGUUUGUGGUAUUUUUCAGAUAUCUUCAUGAGUCAACCCUGACUGAAAGAAAAAUAUGAAUAAUGCUUUCAUUUUUCCACCCUAUAUAAUAUAGUCCCAGAGAUCAUUUAGAGAAAGCACAGUUGUGUUGUUAUUGAAACACACACACACACACGGGUCUUCCAUCAAGAAAGCUCAUUCUCCAAAAAAAAAAAAAAAAA
Molecule: long non-coding RNA, 2160 nt
Filed under: Rattus norvegicus (Norway rat)
Lineage: Eukaryota; Metazoa; Chordata; Mammalia; Rodentia; Muridae
Description: long non-coding RNA NONRATT006688
Source: RNAcentral